RNAcentral lists this ribosomal RNA (468 nucleotides) under uncultured bacterium. Its description in RNAcentral is "partial 16S ribosomal RNA". It matches the Rfam family "Bacterial small subunit ribosomal RNA", at positions 28 to 523 of the family's 1533-position model. The record is from RNAcentral.
GAUGAACGCUGGCGGCGUGCCUAACACAUGCAAGUCGAGCGAUUUACUUCGGUAAAGAGCGGCGGACGGGUGAGUAACGCGUGGGUAACCUGCCCUGUACACACGGAUAACAUACUGAAAGGUAUGCUAAUACGGGAUAACAUAAGAGAGUCGCAUGGCUUUCUUAUCAAAGCUUUUGCGGUACAGGAUGGACCCGCGUCUGAUUAGCUAGUUGGUAAGGUAACGGCUUACCAAGGCGACGAUCAGUAGCCGACCUGAGAGGGUGAUCGGCCACAUUGGAACUGAGACACGGUCCAAACUCCUACGGGAGGCAGCAGUGGGGAAUAUUGCACAAUGGGCGAAAGCCUGAUGCAGCAACGCCGCGUGAGCGAUGAAGGCCUUCGGGUCGUAAAGCUCUGUCCUCAAGGAAGAUAAUGACGGUACUUGAGGAGGAAGCCCCGGCUAACUACGUGCCAGCAGCCGCCGCGG